AAGGGUAUAGCUCAGUGGUAGAGCACAUGCUUAACAGGCGCAAGGUCCUAGGUUCAAUCCCCAGUACCUCUG
Molecule: transfer RNA, 72 nt
Filed under: Camelus bactrianus (Bactrian camel)
Lineage: Eukaryota; Metazoa; Chordata; Mammalia; Artiodactyla; Camelidae
Also listed under: 2 other names
Rfam family: tRNA
About the family: Transfer RNA (tRNA) molecules are approximately 80 nucleotides in length.
Source: Rfam by way of RNAcentral